CCAGAGCUGGGCACUGGGGACACAGGGAGGAAUGAGAGGACAUAGGAUAGGAAGGCAGAUGGACACCAGGUCAAAUGUGUGCAUUUCAACUAGGUAAAUAUCAGCAAAAGUCCAGGAAGGAGUGAAGAAACCUGGCAGGAGGAGCUGAGCUGGUCAGAGAUAAGUGUUUUGACAGCAGAGAAGCAGAGGAAAGGGGCACAUCUAGGUGGCAUGUGUCUGGGGAGCUGUUUAAGACUCCAGCCAUUGGAGCUGAGGCCAAAGAGGUUGAACAAGGCCCAAGUAUGAAGUACCAGGCAAAGAUGUUGAUCCAGCAUCUGAAGGAGACCAGCAGAGAGAGAGAGUUUUGCUUUGUUUUGAAGAGCUAAUAUGAUGUCAAAAGGAUAUCGUAAUAGUUAAUAAAGCUGCUAAAAUAGAUUUGCCACAAAAUUCUGAUGGCUAAACACAAUAAAGUCCCUGCCCACAUGAGUCUCACACAGUAGUUCCCCUCCAGGUGACUCUGAGGUCAAAACCUGAUUCCCAAAGUCACCCUAGGUCUCAGCACCAUUCCAGACAACCGAAAGAGAAAAAAGCAUUAAGGAUGGCACAAGGGAGGUGUUUCUGGGCUGAGCCUGUUUCAUUGGCUAGAAUUCAGUCAUGUGGCCAUUCCUCCAUGUAAAGGAGUCUAGAAAACAGGCUAUGUUCCCAGGAAGAAGGGGAAAUAAGUUUGGAGAUCAGCUGCAGAGAUAAACUGCAAAGUACCGCAGAGGGGAGAGAUGCAGAACACUUUGACGUGAAUAAAUGUUGUCCUCCCACAGUGCUGAGAUCAUUGGGAGAAGCACUGAGGUGGAAGCAGUGCUGAGUGACUCCCGAGACGAGCACAGAAAAGGUGAUCAGCUCCCGCCUGGCCCUCUCCCCUCAGAACACACAGCUUUGCAGCCCUGAGCCACCAGGAUCAAAUGAUGAUGCAGUGCUGGAGAGCCAGCUUGGACUGUGUAGAUACAGACAGUACCCACCCCGGUAUGGCAGAGCAACAACACAGAAGGAACCUGGGUCCCCAUUCAGCUUCCAGGAGCAGAGCUGCCUCAUCGCCUUGGACCAACUCCUACCUAUGGGCAAGAAUCCCUGAUGCAGGCUGCCCUGGGAAGGGCAUGAUCUCAGGUGAGGCUGACCCUGAAGAAGCUGACAGCUGGAGGCCAUCUGCUGACCGCAUUCCUCACAGCUGGGCAGCAAGCCCUUCCUUGAAGAGGGAUCUGAAUGGGACAUCUCUGUGCCUACCAGAGUCCACCUCUUGCUCUGCUUGGACCCCGCCUCCAUGUACUCUCCUCUAUGGACCGGCUCCUCCAUGGCCCCGUGGGUCUCUCUUCUUGAGGGAGAACUUGGAAGCGGGAAUUAGUGGGCUGAGCCGCGGCCCCUGCUGCUACAGUUGGUCCCCAUUCUCUUCCUCCUCCACUACCUGGUCUGGAUUCACUUUCAUCUCAGCUACCACCGCUGCUGGCUUUGGUGUCUUAGCUGGUGAUGUGACUCAGACCCUUAUCGCUGAGCUUAGCAGGCAGGAAGUUUAUUAGAGAAGGCUCUCAGCACGACACCUGUGGGGCAAGUGAAGGAAGCAAGAUGGGACAGAGAGAGAAUUUGUGACAUAGUCACAGCGAGAUUCCAGCUGACCCCUCAGGGAGCUCUGAAGCUGGGCUGACCCUUCAGAGCUGUCCCCAUCUGGGGCCAAGAGGACUGGGCCUUUUCUGCCCCUGCCUUGACUUCUCAUUGGAUGUGAGCUGCCCUGGGGAAGUGGCUGUGACACUGGGUAGGAUGGCUUUCUUCUGCUGAGGGCGAUUCUCACACAAGGCUGACAGCUGAGGGCUGGUAACGGGGGUGUGUCAGCUGUGACAAGUGCCCUUCAGUCCCGAAGGGGGACGGCUGGUGCCAACCACAACAGCCCCAUCUGUGUCCAGGACCCAACACUUGCCUCUCCCUGUCGCGGUCUCAAACUUGGCACCAGUCAGUGUUUCUCACUGACUCCUCUUUCCAGGUAUUGUUAUUGUGGUAAAAUACACGUAACAGAAAAUUUACCAUCUUAACCAUUUUUAAGUGCACAGUUCAGUAUUGUUAAGUACAUUCACGGCAUUGUGCAACCAACCCCUGGAACGUUUUCAUCUUGCAAGGCAAGCUCAAUAGGCAGCCAUUAAAUAGCUCCUCAUUCUUCCUUCUCCCCAGACCCUGGCAACCACCAUCUGGCUUUCUGUCUCUAGAAAUGUGACCAUUUUAGGUACCUUAUAUAAGUGUCUUUUUGAGACUGUCCUAUUUCACUUAGCAUAAUGUCCUCAAGAUUCAACCAUGUUGAAGCACAUAUCAGAAUUUCCUUCCUUGGUAAGGAAUAAUACUCCAUUGGGUGUUUCUACCACCUUUGGUUUAUCCAUUCAUCCGUCAGUAGAUACUUGGGUUGCUUCCACCUUUUGGCUAUUGUGAAUAAUGCUGCUGUGGACAGGAUAUACAGAUAUCUCUUCAAGACCCUGCUUUAAAUUCUUCUGGAUAAAAAGCCAGAUCUAAGAUGUUUUUGUCCAAGACGUUUUUAAUCUUUCAUUGGCUUAACUCCUUCUAGACCCAGACAGAGGUGAGGAUGAACCACCUACCUUCUUGUUAAGGAGGCAAUCCUAUAAAUCAGAACACUCUGGGAGAGUCAGCUUGAUGGAUAUCAAACCUGGCUUAUGAUUAAUUAUGAACCAAUAUAUGCCAUCCAAUAGUUUCUGUUUUUUCCACCAAAGGGAAAGAAACCAUCUGUAAAGGAAAUUUCCCACAUGCUGCUUGAACUGUUUCACCUUUUGUUAUCGUAACCACCAAGGUUAGUUAAUCACAAACAGGACUUUGAGAAACAGUCUCUAUGUUGAAAGAAAAUAAGGCAGGCGGGGCCCAGCUCAUUACCAUGCUGAAGCUGAUGAGGGUGUCUUUGUGUUGAUGAGGGGAAAGCAGGGGCUGACAAGGGAGAGGUAGACCCUGGGAGGGGAGGUUGGGUGGAGUUAAAAAAAUUUUUGCCAAGAAUCUGAUAGUACAUCAUUUUGUUGGCCUGAUUGUUUUAGGCUAAGCAAUACCUGAGAUUUCAAACAGCAAAAGUGAAAAGUGCAUUCUUUAUGAAUUUUUAAAAACAACUCAGGCUUCUUGUCCAAGACCUAUUUAUUUGGACAAACACAUACAUUCAGAGUUUAUUUCCUCUGUUUUCAUUAAAGUUAAAUCCAAUCUGUAUGACUCAAGCCAAAAGUUAAAAGCAGCAUCAGAUGUCUUUUGAGCUUUUCUUCACCCCAGGUUGCCAGCUGAAAUAAGAAAGUGAUCAAAAUAAACUUAAAAAUCAGAACUCAUUUUCUUAAGGAAGUUCUCAACUCUGCAACUCACCCACACAGAGCAAGUGGAUAAUUGAUACUGAAUACAAUAAUGGCAAAUUGUAUGCAUGCUUCCUAAAAUAAGCAGAACUAUACCACAGUGGUUGACAAGGAGGCUUAAAAUAAAUAGAUAAAUAAGUAAGUAAGUAAAUAAAAAUAACAGAACUCCUUACCACAAAAGACUCACUUUUAAUCAUCAUUUGAAAUAAUACCAGAUGACUAUGCUUCACACCUCUAAGAAUGUGUUCUGAAAAGAAUAAACCCUAAAAGUUACGUUGUUAGGGUUCAAUUUUUAGUGAGCUGCAGCAUGACUAAAGUUGGUAAAUUUAUCCUCUUGGGAUAUUCCCAUUUUUAUGAGAGAAAUUGCAUGUGAUACUGUAUAUUUUCUCAGUCUUGUACAAUGAUUCUAUACCUUAAA
Molecule: long non-coding RNA, 3762 nt
Organism: Aethalodelphis obliquidens (Pacific white-sided dolphin)
Lineage: Eukaryota; Metazoa; Chordata; Mammalia; Artiodactyla; Delphinidae
Exons: 5
Source: RefSeq, a predicted model, not a curated record